Hermetia illucens (black soldier fly) is the source of this 989-nucleotide long non-coding RNA. RefSeq lists it as uncharacterized. NCBI's taxonomy places the organism in Eukaryota, Metazoa, Arthropoda, Insecta, Diptera, Stratiomyidae. The record is from RefSeq and is a predicted model, not a curated record. The transcript has 3 exons.
CAAGACACAAAAUCCAAAUCACAAAUACAUACCUCAAACGAAAUUUGCAUUAAAUACGUUUGAUUCAUUGUUGUGAAUCAAUAAUUUCUGUGAAUUAAGAUUUCAGCAGGACCCUCAGAUUUCUGCGAGCCACGAAGAUUGGAUAACAAUAUGGAGUUGAUAAAGAAUCAAAUAAAUCGGUAAAACAUAUGUAUACUGGACUAAACGCUGGAAGCAAGUUAUUAUUGCAUCACCAUAGAAAAGAUAGAAAGCUAUUAGCGAGCUAACGAUUAUUUAGCUGAACAACUACGAAAAGGAAAACGGAAAGAAAGACAAUCUUACAACGCACCGGCGAUAUAGUAGUAGGUUCAUAUAAAACGACAUGGACAACUCAGUCUACCUUACUUCAAGGAAUUCAAAAACCAUAGUUUGACACCGACAAACAAAAAAUGAAGGCAGUCAUGAAUUGGUUGGAGGCGAAUGGAAGGUGCUUUUGAACUUACAUUAGUAGAUUACAGUGGUGUCAUCUAAACAAGAUAGAAUAUGUGGGAUUAGACAAACUUGUUAGCACUGAUGAAGGGAACAAAUGGUUCCCGAAAUAUCGAUAAUUAAUCGUUGGAAAUACCGCAUAAUUUCACUCAGAUGUGGGAUUAGUUUUGGAUAAAAUAUUUGGAGCUACGAAGCAUUCUGAAUUGCACGAGUGAACACAUGAGUGACAACUUUACCGAAAUAAAGUGCUCAAGCUCCGAUAUUGCUACUACGGGGAGGCAGAACGACACAAACAAAAAGAUUUUUCAAUUAUUGCAAAUUUUCAAGAAAGUCUCCAUAUGAACUCCUUCAUUCAAAUUUAAAGUCAAUAAGUGGUAGUUUUCCAUUAUUGUAUUGAAUCAGAUUUUGUUGAUCAUCUUCCUCGAAGGAAAUGAGAAAGAAGCUAAACUUAAACUGAUAAAGUAUGAAUGAUUCCAAAGUCUACACUUAAUGUAAUUAAAUUAUAAGCCAGCACUUACUUU